This is a long non-coding RNA of Lagopus leucura (white-tailed ptarmigan), 333 nucleotides long. RefSeq lists it as uncharacterized. NCBI's taxonomy places the organism in Eukaryota, Metazoa, Chordata, Aves, Galliformes, Phasianidae. The record is from RefSeq and is a predicted model, not a curated record. The transcript has 3 exons.
AGAAGUUUGAUUUUUUGCUUUUGUCUCCAGCAUGGCAGGAUGUGGUUUGUUCUUGAUGCUAGCCUCAUCUCCAUCCUCUGAAUGGGUCCGUGCUGGUUUUUCUCUGCAUCUGUCCGUGUUGCAUUGGUGGGGUCAGUAAGCACAAGCUGGAAAUGGCAUACAGAUUGUUUUAAUUUGCACCAAGGGCAUCUUUGCCUCUAUGAAUAAGAAAUUUUUGAAAACAUCCUUCAUCUACAAAAUUGAGUGCUCCUAGUUUCCAGUUCUACAGUACGUUGUCAGCAGGAUCAGAGCUGGGCCUACAAGGCACACAGAAUGUUCUGGGGAGAUUGGUGC